Long non-coding RNA from Triticum aestivum (bread wheat), 2446 nucleotides. RefSeq lists it as uncharacterized. NCBI's taxonomy places the organism in Eukaryota, Viridiplantae, Streptophyta, Magnoliopsida, Poales, Poaceae. The record is from RefSeq and is a predicted model, not a curated record. The transcript has 3 exons.
UUGUAGGUCCCACCACUUCUCCUCAUCCCGUUCAUCUCUCUCUAGAGGCAGAGCGCACCCAUUUCAAAACCACAGUUCUCGUCGCCCGUCUCUUCUUCCAAAUCCUCCAACCCCCAAAUCAGGUUCUCGCACCAGUUGGGAUCCCGCGGGCGUAGCCGUGUUCGGUGAAUCCGUGGCCGAUUUUCCGCCGGAGUUGGAGCAACCACCAGUUCGGCGACCAGGGGCGUGCGACCACCAGUUGCGUGAGGCGUUUCCGGGAAGAGGAUAAGCGGAUGGUAGCCAGGUUGCGGUGCAACGAGGAGCAGGUCGGCGGGGGGAAGCAGUAGACGAGGCGCUUCAGGGGUGGAACAGCCGUCGCCAGCGCCGUGCCAUUGGUGCAGAGGGCAGAGUCAUGCUGAGGGCUACCAAUCCUUCCCUUCCGUAGUCCUUCAUCUGGUCUCUAUUUUCCCAUGUCCAAAUCGGUGAUUGCAUGGUGUAUGAUGUAGACCUCGUUAUGGUUGACGAUGUGGGGCAUUCAGUUCGCAAGGGGGUUGGCUAAUGGUGGGAGUUAGGGUUACAUUUUGGGUUGCUGUGGUGUGGGGAUGUCCAUGAGUGUUGGGUUAGGAUGCUCAUGACGGGGAUAGUUCAGCGGAGGUCAUUUUGUUGUUGUUUUGAGUUUCAGAUUCAUGCUUGUUUUUUGCUCUAAUUUUGUGAAUGACUUCCCCUGUAUGGAUUCAGAAGUUGCCAACGCACAUAAGUGAGUGAUUCUGUUACAGGUAGUAUGGCAUGGUUUUCUCCUUGUUUGAGCAACUUCAAAUCCAGAGGAAGUUAUUCACUUCAGGGAAUUUUUUGAGGUUAAUUUUGUCUGAAUUUGCAUGAUGUGGUUUUUAGUUUGCAUGGAUAUGCCUGAUAUGUGUAAACAAUGAAGUUAAUCCUCUGAUUUGAAAAUUUCUAUGUUACCUAAGUGCUGCUUAAUAUAGCAACAGAGAGAAAUUCAGUCCAUAUGGGGAGGGAGAGGGAGGGAGAUGUUCUCAUGCAUUGGUUGUAGAUCUGCUGAACCUACUAACAAGCCUGCUCAUAUGUUGCAUAUUUUGUGUUUUGACUUGCCCAACAACUGCUCAUAUGUUGCCUAGCACCUUGUUUUACAUUGCAACGAAUGUAUAUGUGUUGUUUGAACAAGGCAAUGUUUGAUGAUGUAGGGUCCUUUUUGAAAGUGUGUGUAUGAGGUGGGGUGCUGGGGUUACAUUUUUUUCAUUUUUUGCCUAGUAUUGUGAUUCAGUUGCAGAUCUGUCAUUUGCUUAAAGUUUUGUGAUUUAGUUGUCAGGCUUGCUCAAGUUCAAUGUGUCAGUUGCCUGACAUGCCCUCAGUUGUUGCCUAGUAUUCACGAUAUGUGUUUCUUUUUCAGGUGCCUGAUGCGCAACAGAUUUUCUUGCUGCUCAUGGUCAUGUUACUUAAGUUUGUAUUAAUGUUGUAACAUAGUGAAGAAGAAGAUAGUUUACAAUCCUUCCGUUGUCUACUUUUUUUGUAAAUUGCUUUUUGCUUAGUUUAGAAGGAAUUUAGUCACAUGACUUUGGUGGAUGAUAUACAGUUUUUUAUGAUGAUACUCAUUGUUUGUCCUUUAUAUACGCAACAGAAAACAGAUAGCCGAGACAAGUCAAAAGUCAAAACAGGAUGGACCUCCUGGAUCAAGUCAUGAUGACAUUGCAUCUCAUGGCAAUGAAGAGCAUCAAACAAAGCAAAUAAUUUGGUACAAGUGUCAGAGAACUAAAGCAAUUAUUGCACGGGGGCAACAUCCUGAUGAUAUUAUUACUAACGAGAAUAGUAACGAGAGCCAAGCUGCAGAUGCUGGAAAUGCAAAUGUGAAAGGUGCAGACGUGGACCAACCUCCAAAACCAAAACGCUAGAAGGCGGGAGGAACUGAGGGUCAUAGGAACAUGGCAUCCCCCGCAAGGCUCUUCAAGUUGAACAAGGAGUUGGUUCCUAACCAAAAGGGUGUCAUCAUUGCAACAGAAUUUGGAGGCAUUCUGGACCUUGAAGCAAGUAGCAUGCCUGGAGAUCUUAGCCAAUGGAUAAUGAAGCAUUAUGACCCUGAGAUUUCACAGAUAGUCAUUCCAGAAAGGGGGAAGAUUCUUGUAGAUGCCGCAAGUGUCCGUAGGAUAUGGGGCUUGCCAAAUAGGGGGAGGAAGGCGUGCUUUGAUAAUCAGCCUGAAAUCACAAAGGCAAUGUACAAUACUUACAAUAUCACCUCCAAGAACUCCUCAACUCUCACAGCAUGGUGCAAGAUGAUCAAAGAUAUCGGAGGAUCUUAUGAUGAUGACUUUGUCCGUGCUUGGCUAGUUCUUGUUUUUUCGUGCUUCCUUGCCCCUUCCACUAGUUUAAGUAUUUCCCCGAAAAACUUCCUGGCGGUCAUGGAUGUCAAUGGAAUAAUGGAAACCAAUAUAUGCCAGUUUGUUGUUGAUCAACUAAA